CUUCUUUUAAUCAAAUGACUCAUGAAUUUUUCCCCUAACAUAUUAAGUAUUUUAGAUAGUGUAAAUCUACAUAUUGUAAAAUAUUUUAAUAUUUUAUCCUAUAACCUUUGUGAAGAAAAGAGAUGUUGUAUGAUCCGCAAAAUUUUCUAUAUGGCCUCUUCACAUUUCUGCAGUGUUAGGAUUAUAUAUUGUAUUCAUUUUCUAUACAAAUUUGAUAUUUGAGCACUAAUCA
RNAcentral lists this long non-coding RNA (232 nucleotides) under Capsicum annuum. RNAcentral describes it as "long non-coding RNA (CANN_LNC009358)". Lineage: Eukaryota; Viridiplantae; Streptophyta; Magnoliopsida; Solanales; Solanaceae. The record is from RNAcentral.